GAUGUACCACCUUGAGAUGCCGAUUCUCUGAAGCAAAACAGAGCUGGGUCUGGUUAGUGCUUGGAUGGGAGACCGUUGGGAAUACCAGGUAAGACAGCA
RNAcentral lists this ribosomal RNA (99 nucleotides) under Periophthalmus magnuspinnatus. Lineage: Eukaryota; Metazoa; Chordata; Actinopteri; Gobiiformes; Gobiidae. The record is from RNAcentral.